This 253-nucleotide ribosomal RNA is filed under the name uncultured bacterium. Its description in RNAcentral is "partial 16S ribosomal RNA". It matches the Rfam family "Bacterial small subunit ribosomal RNA", at positions 524 to 776 of the family's 1533-position model. The record is from RNAcentral.
UACGAAGGGGGCUAGCGUUGUUCGGAAUCACUGGGCGUAAAGGGUGCGUAGGCGGAUUCUUAAGUCAGGGGUGAAAUCCCGAGGCUCAACCUCGGAACUGCCUUUGAUACUGGGGAUCUUGAGUCCGGAAGAGGUGAGUGGAACUCCUAGUGUAGAGGUGGAAUUCGUAGAUAUUCGCAAGAACACCAGUGGCGAAGGCGGCUCACUGGCCCGAUACUGACGCUGAGGUGCGAAAGCGUGGGGAGCAAACAGG